UUCUUUUUGAUGGCGAAGGCCAUUGGCCUUAAAGGGUGUUAUUUUGAACUUAUCGAAAUAGCAUCCCGUCGUAGUUUGAGCGAGCUCAAACCUUUCUUUUUAUCUUUGAUGGUGAAGGACCUUGGCUUUAAAAGGUGUUAUUUUGAACUUAUAAAAAUAACUGCCCGUUGUAGUUCGAGCAAGGUUGAACCUUUCUUUUUCUAUUUGAUGGCGAAGGCCCUUAGCCUUAAAGGGUGUUAUUUCGAACUUAUCAAAAUAACAGCCUGUAGUAGUUUGAGUGAGGCAGAACAUUUUUUUUAUGGCUAAGG
This 308-nucleotide long non-coding RNA is filed under the name Nicotiana benthamiana. Its description in RNAcentral is "long non-coding RNA (NBEN_LNC023240)". Lineage: Eukaryota; Viridiplantae; Streptophyta; Magnoliopsida; Solanales; Solanaceae. The record is from RNAcentral.